This 200-nucleotide ribosomal RNA is filed under the name uncultured Glomus. RNAcentral describes it as "partial small subunit ribosomal RNA". It matches the Rfam family "Eukaryotic small subunit ribosomal RNA", at positions 591 to 797 of the family's 1831-position model. Lineage: Eukaryota; Fungi; Glomeromycota; Glomeromycetes; Glomerales; Glomeraceae. The record is from RNAcentral.
CCAAUAGCGUAUAUUAAAGUUGUUGCAGUUAAAAAGCUCGUAGUUGAAUUUCGAGAUCAAAUUGUUGGUCGUGCCUCGGUACGUACUGGUAAUUUUGGUUUCUCCCUUCUGAAGAACCAUGAUGUCAUUAAUUUGGUGUCUUGGGGAAUCAGGACUGUUACUUUGAAAAAAUUAGAGUGUUUAAAGCAGGCUCGCGCUUG